CCUACGGGAGGCAGCAGUGGGGAAUAUUGGACAAUGGGGGCAACCCUGAUCCAGCCAUGCCGCGUGUGUGAAGAAGGCCCUCGGGUUGUAAAGCACUUUCAGUGAGGAAGAACGCCUGGUGGUUAAUACCCAUCAGGAAAGACAUCACUCACAGAAGAAGCACCGGCUAACUCCGUGCCAGCAGCCGCGGUAAUACGGAGGGUGCGAGCGUUAAUCGGAAUUACUGGGCGUAAAGCGCGCGUAGGUGGUUUGAUAAGCCGGUUGUGAAAGCCCCGGGCUCAACCUGGGAACGGCAUCCGGAACUGUCAAGCUAGAGUGCAGGAGAGGAAGGUAGAAUUCCCGGUGUAGCGGUGAAAUGCGUAGAGAUCGGGAGGAAUACCAGUGGCGAAGGCGGCCUUCUGGACUGACACUGACACUGAGGUGCGAAAGCGUGGGUAGCAAACAGGAUUAGAUACCCCGGUAGUC
RNAcentral lists this ribosomal RNA (465 nucleotides) under Vreelandella stevensii. Its description in RNAcentral is "partial 16S ribosomal RNA". It matches the Rfam family "Bacterial small subunit ribosomal RNA", at positions 338 to 795 of the family's 1533-position model. Lineage: Bacteria; Pseudomonadati; Pseudomonadota; Gammaproteobacteria; Oceanospirillales; Halomonadaceae. The record is from RNAcentral.